UACGUAGGGUGCAAGCGUUGUCCGGAAUUAUUGGGCGUAAAGAGCUCGUAGGCGGUCUGUCGCGUCUGCUGUGAAAACCUGGGGCUUAACUCUGGGCGUGCAGUGGGUACGGGCAGACUAGAGUGCAGUAGGGGAGACUGGAAUUCCUGGUGUAGCGGUGAAAUGCGCAGAUAUCAGGAGGAACACCGGUGGCGAAGGCGGGUCUCUGGGCUGUAACUGACGCUGAGGAGCGAAAGCAUGGGGAGCGAACAGG
This 253-nucleotide ribosomal RNA is filed under the name uncultured bacterium. RNAcentral describes it as "partial 16S ribosomal RNA". It matches the Rfam family "Bacterial small subunit ribosomal RNA", at positions 524 to 776 of the family's 1533-position model. The record is from RNAcentral.